CAGCAGCCGCGGUAAUACCGGCGGCCCGAGUGGCGGCCACUAUUAUUGGGCUUAAAGCGUCCGUAGCCGGGUUGGUUAGUCUCCCGGGAAAUCUGGCCGCUUAACGGUCAGAAUUCCGGGAGAUACUGCCAGCCUAGGGACCGGGAGAGGCCGAGGGGAUUCCCGGAGUAGGGGUGAAAUCCUAUAAUCCCGGGAGGACCACCUGUGGCGAAGGCGCUCGGCUGGAACGGGUCCGACGGUGAGGGACGAAGGCCAGGGGAGCAAACCGGAUUAGAUACCCGGGUAGUCCUGGGUGUAAACGAUGCGGACUUUGUGUCGGACAAGCUAUGAGCUUGUCCGGUGCCGGAGGGAAACCGUUAAGUCCGCCGCCUGGGGAGUACGGCCGCAAGGCUGAAACUUAAAGGAAUUGGCGGG
Molecule: ribosomal RNA, 414 nt
Filed under: uncultured microorganism
Description: bacterial SSU rRNA
Rfam family: Archaeal small subunit ribosomal RNA
Source: RNAcentral